This 253-nucleotide ribosomal RNA is filed under the name uncultured bacterium. RNAcentral describes it as "partial 16S ribosomal RNA". It matches the Rfam family "Bacterial small subunit ribosomal RNA", at positions 524 to 776 of the family's 1533-position model. The record is from RNAcentral.
UACGUAGGGUGCGAGCGUUAAUCGGAAUUACUGGGCGUAAAGCGUGCGCAGGCGGCGCGUUAAGACAGGUGUGAAAGCCCCGAGCUUAACUUGGGAAUUGCGCUUGUGACUGGCGUGCUGGAGUGUGGCAGAGGGAGGUGGAAUUCCACGUGUAGCAGUGAAAUGCGUAGAGAUGUGGAGGAACACCGGUGGCGAAGGCGGCAUCCUGGACCAACACUGACGCUGAGGCGCGAAAGCCAGGGGAGCAAACGGG